Molecule: long non-coding RNA, 842 nt
Filed under: Homo sapiens (human)
Lineage: Eukaryota; Metazoa; Chordata; Mammalia; Primates; Hominidae
Description: HSALNT0091209
Source: RNAcentral
UUCCUAGUCACUGCGCAUCCUCCUGAGCCUGAGAGCAAUUGGAGUGAUGGCUGCAGAGCAGCAGAAAUGACAGCCUGCCUCUCCCUCUGGGAGCUCCACCCCGGGGAACUGCAGAGCUGCAGUGCCCAAGAAUGAAGGCAGAGCUGCAAUGGCCUCGCUAGCAGCCCAGGCCAGUAGGCCUUUCCCUCUGGGCUUUACAUCAUGGGCUCCCCUGAUUCUCAGGCCUUCAGACUCAGACUCUGAGUUAUACCACCAGCUUCCCUGGGUCUUCAGCUUACAGAUGGCAGAUAACGAUAUGAUGGGAUUUUUCAACCUCCAUAACCAUGUUAAGAAGUGCAGGUUCUAAGAAGUUAAGUGAUCUUCCAAGGCCACAUGGAGACUUAAAUUGUGAGAAGAGAUGAGGACCCAGGUCUUCUGCCCCGAAAUCUAGUGUUCUACCCACAGCACCCCACCAACUUGGACAUGUGAGAGACAACUAAAAUGCUUGCAAAUAGUAGACAACUCUGUCUACUAUUACAGUACACAACUCUGUCAGGCUCCCCAGGUUAGGUCCAAGAUUAAUAAAAGUCAGACACCCAAGAAUGUCACCCUAAGUAUCUGGAAGCCCCUGACUUCUGAUUUCUUGUCCAGCAAAGAUAUUAUAAUUGAUUUGGUUUUCUGUAUAUUUGCCUUCUGAAGUCAUCCAGCUAUUCAUUCAGUCAAUAAUAACUGAAUAUUAAUAGAAAAUGUGUUAUGUUUGUUGAUUAAACAUAUGCCUACAUUUUCUUGGGGGCAAAUAAGAGAUUUACAUGGAUUAAAACUAUUAAAUUUACAUUUACAAGUAUAUGCCAGUAGAUUAAAAU